AUGCUUGUUCUCUGCUUGGGCGCUGUCAUGUCCCUCCACUUCCUCUCCGAAGGCGCACCUACUCUGCCGCUGCCCUUUGUCGUGCGUGCACUCGCGCUGCUGCCUUAUCUUCUCUCUCACGCGCGUGUGCGUUGCAGGGGAGCUGCCGCAGCUGCCUUCUCUCUGUGUGCAGAAGCUAUUCUCUUCUCACAUCCGUGGUUGCUGACUGCCGUAUGUAUCGUGACCUCCCAUGGUGGCCAUGCAGGAAUCGCUCAGCAGAACAAUAGCCUGGUUCGAUGUUAUUUGAUCAUUCAGCUAUUUUUGUUUUUUCCUUUUUAA
This 318-nucleotide ribosomal RNA is filed under the name Triticum aestivum (bread wheat). Its description in RNAcentral is "partial small subunit ribosomal RNA". Lineage: Eukaryota; Viridiplantae; Streptophyta; Magnoliopsida; Poales; Poaceae. The record is from RNAcentral.